This 440-nucleotide ribosomal RNA is filed under the name uncultured bacterium. RNAcentral describes it as "partial 16S ribosomal RNA". It matches the Rfam family "Bacterial small subunit ribosomal RNA", at positions 338 to 795 of the family's 1533-position model. The record is from RNAcentral.
CCUACGGGAGGCAGCAGUGGGGAAUAUUGCACAAUGGGGGAAACCCUGAUGCAGCGACGCCGCGUGAGUGAAGAAGUCUUUCGGUAUGUAAAGCUCUAUCAGUAGGGAAGAAAAUGACGGUACCUGAUUAAGAAGCCCCGGCUAACUACGUGCCAGCAGCCGCGGUAAUACGCAGGGGGCAAGCGUUAUCCGGAUUUACUGGGGGUAAAGGGAGCGUAGACGGCAGCACAAGUCUGGAGUGAAAGGCCGGGGCUUAACCCCGGAACUGCUUUGGAAACUGUGCAGCUAGAGUGCAGUAGAGGUAGGUGGAAUUCCGAGUGUAGCGGUGAAAUGCGUAGAGAUUAGGAGGAACACCGAUGGCGAAGGCAGCUUACUGGACUGUAACUGACGUUGAGGCUCGAAAGCGUGGGGAGCAAACAGGAUUAGAUACCCUUGUAGUC